This 442-nucleotide ribosomal RNA is filed under the name uncultured bacterium. RNAcentral's name for it is "bacterial SSU rRNA". It matches the Rfam family "Bacterial small subunit ribosomal RNA", at positions 958 to 1398 of the family's 1533-position model. The record is from RNAcentral.
AACGCGAAGAACCUUACCAGGUCUUGACAUCCCUCUGAAAGCGCUAGAGAUAGCGCCGUCCUUCGGACGAGAGGAGACAGGUGGUGCAUGGUUGUCGUCAGCUCGUGUCGUGAGAUGUUGGGUUAAGUCCCGCAACGAGCGCAACCCUUGAUCUUAGUUGCCAGCAUGUAAAGGUGGGCACUCUAAGAUGACUGCCGGUGACAAACCGGAGGAAGGUGGGGAUGACGUCAAAUCAUCAUGCCCCCUUAUGACCUGGGCUACACACGUACUACAAUGGCCGGUACAACGGGAAGCGAAGCCGCGAGGCGGAGCGAAUCCUUAUAAGCCGGUCUCAGUUCGGAUUGCAGGCUGCAACUCGCCUGCAUGAAGUCGGAAUUGCUAGUAAUCGCGGAUCAGCAUGCCGCGGUGAAUACGUUCCCGGGCCUUGUACACACCGUAGUAC